Molecule: ribosomal RNA, 492 nt
Filed under: uncultured bacterium
Lineage: Bacteria
Description: partial 16S ribosomal RNA
Rfam family: Bacterial small subunit ribosomal RNA
Source: RNAcentral
AGUGAACGCUGGCGGCAGGCCUAACACAUGCAAGUCGAACGGCAGCACAGUAAGAGCUUGCGCUUACGGGUGGCGAGUGGCGGACGGGUGAGGAAUACAUCGGAAUCUACUUUUUCGUGGGGGAUAACGUAGGGAAACUUACGCUAACACCGCAUACGACCUACGGGUGAAAGCAGGGGAUCUUCGGACCUUGCGCGAUUGAAUGAGCCGAUGUCGGAUUAGCUAGUUGGCGGGGUAAAGGCCCACCAAGGCGACGAUCCGUAGCUGGUCUGAGAGGAUGAUCAGCCACACUGGAACUGAGACACGGUCCAGACUCCUACGGGAGGCAGCAGUGGGGAAUAUUGGACAAUGGGCGCAAGCCUGAUCCAGCCAUGCCGCGUGGGUGAAGAAGGCCUUCGGGUUGUAAAGCCCUUUUGUUGGGGAAGAAGAGCAGCAGGUUAAUACCCCGCUGUUCUGACGGUACCCAAAGAAUAAGCACCGGCUAACUUCGUG